GCCGGAUCGUCUGGUCCUUCUCCCGAACCAUUCGCCGCAAGGUGUGCACCUGAGAGUUGGCACUGGCGUACACAUCCUGCAAAAAAGAGGACAUGAAAGUAACCCAACCGACCCUGACGUGGUCCAGCUCCUUGUUGGUUUGCAUCAGCUGUUUCUCCAGUUCCACGAUCUUCAGCAUCGCUUCAUUCUCCACGUCAAGGAGGCGCUCUGACAUCUGGAGACGGAGAGAGAAAGACAGCAGCGUACCCACGUCAAACACGUUGUCCAGGUACGCCUGAAUCUGCACCUGCAGCCUGUCACUCUCUGUGUGCUUCAACCUCUGCAGAGAGACAGACAGACAGGUUUACACUGGGACAGGCAGGUGUUCGUCCAGGUUCAGUUUGGUGAAGUCGUACUGCAGGUGGACUCUGAAGUUCAUGUCCUCCACUGAGUGAACCACGAUGUUAAUGAACUGCAUACAGGCCACCUAGAGAUUGUUACCAUGGCAACAACACACACUUAAACAGCUUGUCAAUCACCUGCUGAAGAUGGCACUGCAAUGAAGCUUUGAUCACAGAGUGUCGAGCAGCUCUGGGCACAGAUGAGGAGGGGGAGGGGAGGCUGCAGUCACCAUGGAGAUCCUCUAUGGACCGACUCCAGGGAGAGUCGAUGGACGAGACAUCCCCUCGGUCCUCCGACUGCUCACCAUCAAACCUGAACACACAAACAGGUCAACACUGACACUCUAUAUGACAUGGAUUUAGGAUGACUAAAUAACGUGUGUGUGUGUUGACUUACGUAACAGCGUACUGAGCAAAGGACAAGUACUCAACAAGAACAUCGAGACCUCGAUUCUCCUCAUUCAAAAACUCUCUGACCCACCUACAGAGAGAGAGAGAGAGAGAGAGAGAGAGAGAGAGAGAGAGAGAGACAGGUAAAGUCAGUCCUGUACCUACAUGCUACAUCGUUGAUUACAGUUGAUAUUGUAUUGUUUAUGUAACAUUCAUGCCAAUAAAGCUUUCUGAAUUGAAUUGACUAGAGAGAGAGAGAGAGAGAGAAGUACAGUUAAUCAGACAUAGAAACAGAGAGUGAGAGACAGUUGGUCAGAUAGACAGGUACCCGAUAUGGUUUGUGCGUAGAGAAAUUUCGAGCUCUCUGAGCAUCUGAGUCGACUCCUGAACUCUUCUUCUGAACUUCUGCAAACAGACGGGGAGGCAGAAAGACCAAUAAUAUUUUUUUAAAAGUUGUAAAAACUGAAACGUAUGAUAUAACUGACAUCAUUGCUGUUGUUGCUAACCCUAACCCUAACCAAUCUACAGACUACAUUUCCCAUCUCACCUUGCGUGUGACUGCUGGGUCCAGGAAGCCUCUCAGUUUUUGGAUGUAGGUGUGUGGAGGGUUCUUCACCUGAAACCUCUCCUGCAUCAAACACACGUUACGACAUGAAGACAUGAAGAUGUUCAAAGCUUCAGGAACGUAGCAGACGCACCUUGUCAGGUGGCAGGUUCAUGGAAUUCUGCAAAAAUAGCAUUUCAUCAUAAAUCUGUAAAACCAACUACCUGCAACUAGAACAACCUGCAACCAGAACAACCUGCAACCAGAACUACCUCCAACUAGAACAACCUGCAACUAGAACAACCUGCAACCAGAACAACCUGCAACCAGAACUACCUCCAACUAGAACAACCAAAAACCUGCAACUAGAACAACCAGAACACCCAACACCCCCCUUUUAUUUAUCACUACACAUACUGAACUACGAACAAUCCCAUUAGCCAACCACCACUAAAUGUUAGCAUGCUAAUAUGUUAGCAUGUCUUUAACAUUUAUGGGUUAGGGUUGUCUGUUGUUUAUCUGUGUUUUGUGUGUGUGUGUGUGUGUGUGUGUGUGUGUGUGUGUGUGUGUGUGUGUGUGUGUGUGUGUGUGUGUGUGUGUGUGUGUGUGUGUGUGUGUGUGUGUGUGUGUGUGUGUGUGUAUGUUGUGAAUUUGUGUGUUUCGUGUAUCUGUGUGUCUCUCUGUGUGUGUGUGUGUGUGUGUGUGUGUGUGUGUGUGUGUGUGUGUGUGUGUGUGUGUGUGUGUGUCGUAUACUUACCAGUGCUAUGGAGAAUCUCUCCUCCAGCUCGGCUGGGUCGGGCAUCGGCAGUCGAACCGGAGCGGCUCUGGACCGAAUCACAGCCAGUUGGCUCUCCAUG
Molecule: long non-coding RNA, 2171 nt
Organism: Labrus mixtus (cuckoo wrasse)
Lineage: Eukaryota; Metazoa; Chordata; Actinopteri; Labriformes; Labridae
Exons: 6
Source: RefSeq, a predicted model, not a curated record